GAUGAACGCUGGCGGCGUGCCUAAUACAUGCAAGUCGAACGGAGCUGCUUUGAUGAAGUUUUCGGAUGGAUUUAAAACAGCUUAGUGGCGGACGGGUGAGUAACGCGUGAGUAACCUGCCUCACACUGGGGGAUAACAGUUAGAAAUAGCUGCUAAUACCGCAUAAGCGCACAGAUCCGAAUGGAACAGAGUGAAAACCUCGGGUGGUGUGAGAUGGACCCGCGUCUGAUUAGCCCGUUGGCGGGGUAACGGCCCACCAAAGCGACGAUCAGUAGCCGGCCUGAGAGGGUGAACGGCCACAUUGGGACUGAGACACGGCCCAAACUCCUACGGGAGGCAGCAGUGGGGAAUAUUGCGCAAUGGGGGAAACCCUGAUGCAGCGACGCCGCGUGAGUGAAGAAGUAUUUCGGUAUGUAAAGCUCUAUCAGCAGGGAAGAUAGUGACGGUACCUGAAUAAGAAGCCCCGGCUAACUACGUGCCAGCAGCCGCCGUAA
RNAcentral lists this ribosomal RNA (494 nucleotides) under uncultured bacterium. RNAcentral describes it as "partial 16S ribosomal RNA". It matches the Rfam family "Bacterial small subunit ribosomal RNA", at positions 28 to 523 of the family's 1533-position model. The record is from RNAcentral.